This 84-nucleotide transfer RNA is filed under the name Felis catus (domestic cat). It matches the Rfam family "tRNA". Rfam says of the family: Transfer RNA (tRNA) molecules are approximately 80 nucleotides in length. Their secondary structure includes four short double-helical elements and three loops (D, anti-codon, and T loops). Further hydrogen bonds mediate the characteristic L-shaped molecular structure. tRNAs have two regions of fundamental functional importance: the anti-codon, which is responsible for specific mRNA codon recognition, and the 3' end, to which the tRNAs corresponding amino acid is attached (by aminoacyl-tRNA synthetases). tRNAs cope with the degeneracy of the genetic code in two manners: having more than one tRNA (with a specific anti-codon) for a particular amino acid; and 'wobble' base-pairing, i.e. permitting non-standard base-pairing at the 3rd anti-codon position. RNAcentral also lists the same sequence under 2 other names. Lineage: Eukaryota; Metazoa; Chordata; Mammalia; Carnivora; Felidae. The record is from Rfam by way of RNAcentral.
ACCUGAGUGGCACAGUUGGUUAAGCGUCUGAUUUUGGUUCAGGUCAUGAUCUGUGGUUCGUGAGUUCAAGCCCCACAUCAGGUG